Molecule: ribosomal RNA, 253 nt
Filed under: uncultured bacterium
Lineage: Bacteria
Description: partial 16S ribosomal RNA
Rfam family: Bacterial small subunit ribosomal RNA
Source: RNAcentral
GACAGAGGGUGCAAACGUUGCUCGGAAUUACUGGGCGUAAAGCGCGUGUAGGUGGAUUGGUGUGUCAGAUGUGAAAGCCCUGGGCUCAACCCAGGAACUGCACCUGAAACUACCAGUCUUGAGUGGUGGAGAGGGAAGUGGAAUUCCUGGUGUAGAGGUGAAAUGCGUAGAUACUGGGAGGAACACCGGUGGCGAAGGCGACUAACUGGACAUGUAUUGACGCUGAGGUGCGAAAGCGUGGGGAGCAAACAGG